This 31-nucleotide non-coding RNA is filed under the name Mus musculus (house mouse). The record is from RNAcentral. Lineage: Eukaryota; Metazoa; Chordata; Mammalia; Rodentia; Muridae.
UGAUAUUGUUGUUUUUCCUAUGGGGUUGCUU